This 429-nucleotide ribosomal RNA is filed under the name uncultured bacterium. RNAcentral describes it as "bacterial SSU rRNA". It matches the Rfam family "Bacterial small subunit ribosomal RNA", at positions 355 to 776 of the family's 1533-position model. The record is from RNAcentral.
UGGGGAAUAUUGGACAAUGGGGGAAACCCUGAUCCAGCAAUGCCGCGUGUGUGAAGAAGGCCUUCGGGUUGUAAAGCACUUUUAGUGGGGAAGAAAUGCUCAAGGCGAAUAACCUUGAGAGUUGACAUUACCCACAGAAAAAGCACUGGCUAACUCUGUGCCAGCAGCCGCGGUAAUACAGAGAGUGCAAGCGUUAAUCGGAAUUACUGGGCGUAAAGCGCGUGUAGGUGGAUAUUUAAGUCGGAUGUGAAAUCCCCGGGCUUAACCUGGGAAUUGCAUUUGAUACUGGAUGUCUCGAGUAUGGUAGAGGGAAGUGGAAUUUCCGGUGUAGCGGUGAAAUGCGUAGAUAUCGGAAAGAACACCAGUGGCGAAGGCGACUUCCUGGACCAAUACUGACACUGAGACGCGAAAGCGUGGGGAGCAAACAGG